CAUGCAAUGCACUUAUUCCUUGUGCUAUAAUUAUCUCAGAAGAGUAGUGUGAUGAGACACAGGCCAAUGUCAAAUUCUCACACCAAGGGCGUGAAUGAUACCCAUUGAAAUUAUACAUUGGGAACAUUUUAUAUGCAGGAGCUGCAGCAGCAAACUAAAGAACAUGCAAACCAUUUGAAACAGAAACUCAGCCUUCCACAAUCUCACAAAUACCCUGGAGCGUAUUGGAAAAUGUUUCAGCAGUGAACCUGGACACCAGCAAAUAGAAUGAAGCGUUGUAAUUCGUACAUAGGACAUGCUAUUAUGGGAUGAUGUUAAAAUCACAAAUCAACAGAAAUGGAAAAGGUGCUUCC
Chiloscyllium plagiosum (whitespotted bambooshark) is the source of this 353-nucleotide non-coding RNA. The record is from RefSeq and is a predicted model, not a curated record. NCBI's taxonomy places the organism in Eukaryota, Metazoa, Chordata, Chondrichthyes, Orectolobiformes, Hemiscylliidae.